RNAcentral lists this unclassified non-coding RNA (200 nucleotides) under soil metagenome. Its description in RNAcentral is "partial contains internal transcribed spacer 2 and large subunit ribosomal RNA". The record is from RNAcentral.
CAAUCAAGCCUCGCUUGGUAUUAGGUCUCGCCCCCUUAACCGGGCGGCGUGCCUCAAACACCUCGGCGGAGCCACACCGGCUUUGAGCGUAGUAGAAUUAUAUCAAUAACGCUCUGUGGGACGGUGGGACUCUUGCCGCGCAAGCAAACAUAUUUUACCAGGUUGACCUCGGAUCAGGUAGGGAUACCCGCUGAACUUAA